CCUACGGGAGGCAGCAGUGAGGAAUAUUGGUCAAUGGCCGGGAGGCUGAACCAGCCAAGUCGCGUGAGGGAAGACGGCCCUACAGGUUGUAAACCUCUUUUGUCAGGGAGCAAGGUGCAGGUCGGGACCUGCUCUGAGAGUACCUGAAGAAAAAGCAUCGGCUAACUCCGUGCCAGCAGCCGCGGGAAGACGGAGGAUGCGAGCGUUAUCCGGAUUUAGUGGGUUUAAAGGGUGCGCAGGCGGAGGGACAAGGCAGCGGUAAAAUUGCGGGGCUCAACCCCGCUCCGCCGUUGAAACUGUGUGCCUUGAGUGCGCGAAGGGUAGGCGGAAUGCGUGGUGUAGCGGUGAAAUGCAUAGAUAUCACGCAGAACUCCGAUCGCGAAGGCAGCCUACCGGCGCGCAACUGACGCUCAUGCACGAAAGCGUGGGUAUCGAACAGGAUUAGAUACCCGGGUAGUC
Molecule: ribosomal RNA, 459 nt
Filed under: uncultured bacterium
Lineage: Bacteria
Description: partial 16S ribosomal RNA
Rfam family: Bacterial small subunit ribosomal RNA
Source: RNAcentral